CCUACGUGAGGCAGCAGUCGAGAAUCAUUCACAAUGGGGGAAACCCUGAUGGUGCGACGCCGCGUGGGGGAAUGAAGGUCUUCGGAUUGUAAACCCCUGUCAUGUGGGAGCAAAUUAAAAAGAUAGUACCACAAGAGGAAGAGACGGCUAACUCUGUGCCAGCAGCCGCGGUAAUACAGAGGUCUCAAGCGGUGUUCGGGAUCACUGGGCUUAAAGCGUGCGUAGGCUGUUUCGUAAGUCGUGUGUGAAAGGCGCGGGCUCAACCCGCGGACGGCACAUGAUACUGCGAGACUAGAGUAAUGGAGGGGGAACCGGAAUGCUCGGUGUAGCAGUGAAAUGCGUAGAUAUCGAGAGGAACACUCGUGGCGAAGGCAGGUUCCUGGACAUUAACUGACGCUGAGGCACGAAGGCCAGGGGAGCGAAAGGGAUUAGAUACCCGAGUAGUC
RNAcentral lists this ribosomal RNA (446 nucleotides) under uncultured bacterium. Its description in RNAcentral is "partial 16S ribosomal RNA". It matches the Rfam family "Bacterial small subunit ribosomal RNA", at positions 338 to 795 of the family's 1533-position model. The record is from RNAcentral.